Molecule: long non-coding RNA, 217 nt
Filed under: Brassica napus (rape)
Lineage: Eukaryota; Viridiplantae; Streptophyta; Magnoliopsida; Brassicales; Brassicaceae
Description: long non-coding RNA (BNAP_LNC006908)
Source: RNAcentral
GUGGUGUUUCUUGGGUCUUACCGUAACUGUGUUACUGGAAGGGAUGAAAGUUUGUGAAUAUAACGCAGAAGUAUUGUACCACCGUGACUAAAAUAACUAAACAAAUGGAUGUGAAGAGAUAAAUAAGAUUCAUUGAGAUGUUUGUACAGUAAAUUCUCUGAUUUACUAAAAAUCAAAAUAUUUUACCAAUUGAGCAAAAGCUGUAUAACAAAUAUCU